Molecule: ribosomal RNA, 486 nt
Filed under: uncultured bacterium
Lineage: Bacteria
Description: partial 16S ribosomal RNA
Rfam family: Bacterial small subunit ribosomal RNA
Source: RNAcentral
AUUGAACGCUGGCGGCAUGCCUUACACAUGCAAGUCGAACGGCAGCACGGGUGCUUGCACCUGGUGGCGAGUGGCGAACGGGUGAGUAAUACAUCGGAACAUGUCCUAUAGUGGGGGAUAGCCCGGCGAAAGCCGGAUUAAUACCGCAUACGAUCUACGGAUGAAAGCGGGGGACCUUCGGGCCUCGCGCUAUAGGGUUGGCCGAUGGCUGAUUAGCUAGUUGGUGGGGUAAAGGCCUACCAAGGCGACGAUCAGUAGAUGGUCUGAGAGGACGACCAGCCGCACUGGGACUGAGACACGGCCCAGACUCCUACGGGAGGCAGCAGUGGGGAAUUUUGGACAAUGGGCGAAAGCCUGAUCCAGCAAUGCCGCGUGUGUGAAGAAGGCCUUCGGGUUGUAAAGCACUUUUGUCCGGAAAGAAAUCCUUGGCUCUAAUACAGUCGGGGGAUGACGGUACCGGAAGAAUAAGCACCGGCUAACUACGUG